Long non-coding RNA from Cebus imitator (Panamanian white-faced capuchin), 603 nucleotides. RefSeq lists it as uncharacterized. The record is from RefSeq and is a predicted model, not a curated record. The transcript is spliced from 2 exons. Lineage: Eukaryota; Metazoa; Chordata; Mammalia; Primates; Cebidae.
GGGCCAAGUGUGAUCACCAGUACAGUGAGAGCCAGAUACAGAAUGGUUUCCUUCUUUGUGGUCCAUGGGCCCUCAGAGUUCCUGUGUGUAUAUCUUGGUCAUCGGAAUCUCCUCCUUUGAAUGAAAGACACAGAAAAACACAUUCAAGAGAGAAACAGAGAUGAGAAAAGCUAGACUGAUGUUUGCAAGUUCCAAGGGAAGGUGGGAGCCGCUAGUCUUUGAAAGGAAGAGAAAAAAGAAUGACAGGAUGGCGAGAACUCUCAUGCUCUAAUGGCCUCCAGACAUCCAGAGGAAAGGAGCUGAGUCUGUCUUUUCACUGUCAUAUCCUCGGCACCCAGUCCAGUCCUGGCAAAAACUAAGUGUUCAACAAACAUUUGUUGAGUGAGUGAGUAAAUGCAUGAAAAAAAAUUGUCUCAGAGACUUUUUGAAGGAUAGAGAAUAGAAAAUGAGAAAGUUUGCAUCGAUUUUGUAUGUUGCACGUCUUUAGAAGAGAUAUGAAGGGGUGGAAAAAAAUGGGUAAGAUUCUGAAAAGCCAUUUGGGGAAUGCGAUAGAGAAAUCAGCUAAAGAUUAAAGCAAGAAGAGUUGAGCAGUGACAAUAACCU